This 22-nucleotide microRNA is filed under the name Ornithorhynchus anatinus (platypus). RNAcentral describes it as "oan-miR-1406-3p". Lineage: Eukaryota; Metazoa; Chordata; Mammalia; Monotremata; Ornithorhynchidae. The record is from miRBase by way of RNAcentral.
CCUCUCUCCACCACCUAAAUGA